UGCGUAACACGUGGGCAACCUGCCUGUAAGACUGGGAUAACUUCGGGAAACCGGAGCUAAUACCGGAUAAUCCUUUCCCUCUCAUGAGGGAAAGCUGAAAGACGGUUUCGGCUGUCACUUACAGAUGGGCCCGCGGCGCAUUAGCUAGUUGGUGAGGUAACGGCUCACCAAGGCGACGAUGCGUAGCCGACCUGAGAGGGUGAUCGGCCACACUGGGACUGAGACACGGCCCAGACUCCUACGGGAGGCAGCAGUAGGGAAUCUUCCGCAAUGGACGAAAGUCUGACGGAGCAACGCCGCGUGAGCGAUGAAGGCCUUCGGGUCGUAAAGCUCUGUUGUCAGGGAAGAACAAGUACCGGAGUAACUGCCGGUACCUUGACGGUACCUGACCAGAAAGCCACGGCUAACUACGUGCCAGCAGCCGCGGUAAUACGUAGGUGGCAAGCGUUGUCCGGAAUUAUUGGGCGUAAAGCGCGCGCAGGCGGUUCCUUAAGUCUGAUGUGAAAGCCCCCGGCUCAACCGGGGAGGGUCAUUGGAAACUGGGGAACUUGAGUGCAGAAGAGGAGAGCGGA
RNAcentral lists this ribosomal RNA (572 nucleotides) under Mesobacillus subterraneus. Its description in RNAcentral is "bacterial SSU rRNA". It matches the Rfam family "Bacterial small subunit ribosomal RNA", at positions 107 to 665 of the family's 1533-position model. Lineage: Bacteria; Bacillati; Bacillota; Bacilli; Caryophanales; Bacillaceae. The record is from RNAcentral.